Molecule: ribosomal RNA, 305 nt
Filed under: uncultured bacterium
Lineage: Bacteria
Description: bacterial SSU rRNA
Rfam family: Bacterial small subunit ribosomal RNA
Source: RNAcentral
CCUACGGGGCGCAGCAGUGAGGAAUAUUGGUCAAUGGGCGGGAGCCUGAACCAGCCAAGUCGCGUGAAGGAAGAAGGUACUUAGUAUUGUAAACUUCUUUUAUCAGGGACGAUAAUGACGGUACCUGAAGAAAAAGCUCCGGCUAACUACGUGCCAGCAGCCGCGGUAAUACGUAGGGAGCGAGCGUUGUCCGGAAUUACUGGGUGUAAAGGGAGCGUAGGCGGGACGGCAAGUCAGAUGUGAAAACUGAGGGCUCAACUUUCAGACUGCAUUUGAAACUGCUGUUCUUGAGUGAAGUAGAGGUA